RNAcentral lists this transfer-messenger RNA (399 nucleotides) under Bacteroidales bacterium. It matches the Rfam family "transfer-messenger RNA". Rfam says of the family: Bacterial tmRNA, also known as 10Sa RNA or SsrA, is named for its dual tRNA and mRNA-like properties. Its role is to liberate the mRNA from a stalled ribosome. To accomplish this part of the tmRNA is used as a reading frame that ends in a translation stop signal. The record is from RNAcentral. Lineage: Bacteria; Pseudomonadati; Bacteroidota; Bacteroidia; Bacteroidales.
GGGGUUGACUGGUUUUGACAGCAAGGAUAGUAGAAAAGUAAGCAUGUCGUGUAAUGAAUAUCAACACGUUAAAAGGUUGUUCAAAACAAUAAUUGGCGAAAAUAACUACGCUCUCGCUGCUUAAUCGAAUAGAGUAGAUGUAAGCUUUAUCGCGGUCUAUAGCAUCGCGACGAGACGUUCUGCGGAUGGACAAGUCCGGUUCCGGUUCGAUUAACAGGACGCACGCAAUUCCGGAAUAGCUUGAAUGGAACUUCGACGUUCGAGUGAAAUUUAGAAGUUAAGAUUGUCGUUUGGGCGCUUUUCCUCUGACGCAAUUCGAAAAUCAAUGGAAAGAUAAACAUGUAGAAAGCUUUUUGGCUACUUGUUUGGACGCGGGUUCGACUCCCGCCAACUCCACGA